CGCUGGCGGCAUGCUUUACACAUGCAAGUCGAACGGCAGCGCGGACUUCGGUCUGGCGGCGAGUGGCGAACGGGUGAGUAAUAUAUCGGAACGUACCCAAGAGUGGGGGAUAACGUAGCGAAAGUUACGCUAAUACCGCAUACGAUCUAAGGAUGAAAGUGGGGGAUCGCAAGACCUCAUGCUCCUGGAGCGGCCGAUAUCUGAUUAGCUAGUUGGUGAGGUAAAGGCUCACCAAGGCGACGAUCAGUAGCUGGUCUGAGAGGACGACCAGCCACACUGGGACUGAGACACGGCCCAGACUCCUACGGGAGGCAGCAGUGGGGAAUUUUGGACAAUGGGCGCAAGCCUGAUCCAGCAAUGCCGCGUGAGUGAAGAAGGCCUUCGGGUUGUAAAGCUCUUUUGUCAGGGAAGAAACGGCCGAGGCUAAUACCUUUGGCUAGUGACGGUACCUGAAGAAUAAGCACCGGCU
Molecule: ribosomal RNA, 469 nt
Filed under: uncultured bacterium
Lineage: Bacteria
Description: bacterial SSU rRNA
Rfam family: Bacterial small subunit ribosomal RNA
Source: RNAcentral